Pelodiscus sinensis (Chinese soft-shelled turtle) is the source of this 340-nucleotide non-coding RNA. Lineage: Eukaryota; Metazoa; Chordata; Testudines; Trionychidae. The record is from RefSeq and is a predicted model, not a curated record.
CCGAGGCAGGCCGGGACCCGUGACGGGGAGACGCGCUCGCCCAGGAAGUCUACUGAGGGGGUCUUGUGUGAAUUAUCUCUUUAAUGAAAAAGAAAGAAGGUGUUAACUUCAAAAAUACCUUCUUUAAUGAAGUGUUAGGCGUGGACAUCAUUUUUCAAGAACACCAAUAUGCUGCUGUUUUAAUACAUUCCUUUCUCUUCUACUUGACAACUUAUUAAUGAGAAGCAAGUGUUUAUAGCUUGAGAAUAACUCACCUGAAAGCAAGCAGGAGCUGAGAGGACAUGGCCAGACCAUGUGGCUCCAAAAAUGCUGAUCUUCCUACAGGAGCUGCAGAGAGGGG